This 268-nucleotide ribosomal RNA is filed under the name uncultured Atopobium sp. RNAcentral's name for it is "partial 16S ribosomal RNA". It matches the Rfam family "Bacterial small subunit ribosomal RNA", at positions 88 to 356 of the family's 1533-position model. The record is from RNAcentral. Lineage: Bacteria; Bacillati; Actinomycetota; Coriobacteriia; Coriobacteriales; Atopobiaceae.
GUAUAAAGUGGCGAACGGCUGAGUAACACGUGGGCAACCUGCCCUUUGCACUGGGAUAGCCUCGGGAAACCGAGGUUAAUACCGGAUACUCCAUAUUUGUCGCAUGGCGAAUAUGGGAAAGCUCCGGCGGCAAAGGAUGGGCCCGCGGCCUGUUAGCUAGUUGGUGGGGUAGUGGCCUACCAAGGCAAUGAUGGGUAGCCGGGUUGAGAGACCGACCGGCCAGAUUGGGACUGAGACACGGCCCAGACUCCUACGGGAGGCAGCAGCG